Rhinopithecus roxellana (golden snub-nosed monkey) is the source of this 588-nucleotide non-coding RNA. The record is from the annotation of a RefSeq genome assembly. NCBI's taxonomy places the organism in Eukaryota, Metazoa, Chordata, Mammalia, Primates, Cercopithecidae.
AGAGACUUAAGGGAGCUCAGUCUCCAAAGCAGAGCUUCAGCAAGCACAGUGGGAAUCCGCACCAUGCCCUGGGCUCUGCUCCUCCUGACCCUCCUCACUCACUCUGCAGUGCCAGUGGUCCAGGCAGGGCUGACUCAGCCACCCUCAGUGUCCAAGGGCUUGAGACAGACGGCCACACUCACCUGCACUGGGAGCAGCAACAAUGUUGGCAACCAGGGAGCAGCUUGGCUGCAGCAGCACCAGGGCCACCCUCCCAAACUGCUAUCCUACAGGAAUAACAACCGGCCAUCAGGGAUCUCAGAGAGAUUCUCUGCAUCCAGGUCAGGAAACACAGCCUCCCUGACGAUCACUGGACUCCAACCUGAGGAUGAGGCUGACUAUUACUGCUCAGCAUGGGACAGCAGCCUUAGUGCUCAUGUGUUCGGAAGUGCCACCAGCACUGGGGGUGGUUUUCAUGUCAAUGAGUAUCAGCAGUUCCCUGGAAUGGCUCUAAAACUCCUCAUCUAUGAAAACAGCCAUUGGCCUUUAGGGUCCUGUCCUUGGCUCACAGGCUUCACUGAGCACUUCUGGGCUCCAGUCUGGGGAUAA